RNAcentral lists this small RNA (132 nucleotides) under Escherichia coli. Its description in RNAcentral is "RtT sRNA". It matches the Rfam family "RtT RNA". From Rfam's summary of the family: This family represents a bacterial cis-regulatory element known as RtT RNA. Lineage: Bacteria; Pseudomonadati; Pseudomonadota; Gammaproteobacteria; Enterobacterales; Enterobacteriaceae. The record is from RNAcentral.
AUUCUGCCCAUGCGGGGAAGGAUGAGAAGCUUCGACCAAGGUUCGACUCGAGCGCCAGCGAGAGAGCGUUGCCGCAGGCAACGACCCGAAUGGCGAAGCGCGCAGCGCUGAGUAAUCCUUCCCCCACCACCA